UACGUAGGGACCAAGCGUUGUUCGGAUUUACUGGGCGUAAAGGGCGCGUAGGCGGCGUGACAAGUCACUUGUGAAAUCUCCGGGCUUAACUCGGAACGGUCAACUGAUACUGCGCGGCUAGAGUGCAGAAGGGGCAACUGGAAUUCUCGGUGUAGCGGUGAAAUGCGUAGAUAUCGAGAGGGAACACCUGCGGCGAAGGCGGGUUGCUGGGCUGACACGUGA
RNAcentral lists this ribosomal RNA (222 nucleotides) under uncultured bacterium. RNAcentral describes it as "partial 16S ribosomal RNA". It matches the Rfam family "Bacterial small subunit ribosomal RNA", at positions 524 to 743 of the family's 1533-position model. The record is from RNAcentral.